GAGUUUGAUCCUGGCUCAGGACGAACGCUGGCGGCGUGCUUAACACAUGCAAGUCGAACGGUAAGGCCCCAGCUUGCUGGGGUACACGAGUGGCGAACGGGUGAGUAACACGUGGGUGACCUGCCCCGCACUUCGGGAUAAGCCUGGGAAACUGGGUCUAAUACCGGAUAGGACCGCACCGUGAGGGUGUGGUGGAAAGUUUUUCGGUGUGGGAUGGGCCCGCGGCCUAUCAGCUUGUUGGUGGGGUAAUGGCCUACCAAGGCGGCGACGGGUAGCCGGCCUGAGAGGGUGGACGGCCACAUUGGGACUGAGACACGGCCCAGACUCCUACGGGAGGCAGCAGUGGGGAAUAUUGCACAAUGGGCGGAAGCCUGAUGCAGCGACGCCGCGUGGGGGAUAACGGCCUUCGGGUUGUAAACUCCUUUCACCAUCGACGAAGGUUUUCUGACGGUAGAUGGAGAAGAAGCACCGGCUAACUACGUGCCAGCAGCCGCGGUAAUACGUAGGGUGCGAGCGUUGUCCGGAAUUACUGGGCGUAAAGAGCUCGUAGGUGGUUUGUCGCGUCGUCUGUGAAAUUCCGGGGCUUAACUCCGGGCGUGCAGGCGAUACGGGCAUAACUUGAGUACUGUAGGGGAGACUGGAAUUCCUGGUGUAACGGUGACAUGCGCAGAUAUCAGGAGGAACACCGGUGGCGAAGGCGGGUCUCUGGUCAGUAACUGACGCUGAGGAGCGAAAGCAUGGUAGCGAACAGGAUUAGAUACCCUGGUAGUCCAUGCCGUAAACGGUGGGCGCUAGGUGUAGGGGUCUUCCACGACUUCUGUGCCGUAGCUAACGCAUUAAGCGCCCCGCCUGGGGAGUACGGCCGCAAGGCUAAAACUCAAAGGAAUUGACGGGGGCCCGCACAAGCGGCGGAGCAUGUGGAUUAAUUCGAUGCAACGCGAAGAACCUUACCUGGGCUUGACAUAUACGGGACCGGGCCAGAGAUGGUCCUUCCCUUGUGGCUCGUAUACAGGUGGUGCAUGGUUGUCGUCAGCUCGUGUCGUGAGAUGUUGGGUUAAGUCCCGCAACGAGCGCAACCCUUGUCUUAUGUUGCCAGCACGUAAUGGUGGGGACUCGUGAGAAACUGCCGGGGUCAACUCGGAGGAAGGUGGGGAUGACGUCAAAUCAUCAUGCCCCUUAUGUCCAGGGCUUCACACAUGCUACAAUGGUCGGUACAGUGGGUUGCGAUGCCGUGAGGUGGAGCUAAUCCCUGAAAGCCGGUCUCAGUUCGGAUCGGGGUCUGCAACUCGACCCCGUGAAGUCGGAGUCGCUAGUAAUCGCAGAUCAGCAACGCUGCGGUGAAUACGUUCCCGGGCCUGUACACACCGCCCGUC
Molecule: ribosomal RNA, 1373 nt
Filed under: uncultured bacterium
Lineage: Bacteria
Description: bacterial SSU rRNA
Rfam family: Bacterial small subunit ribosomal RNA
Source: RNAcentral